UAACGCGUAGGAAUCUGCCUUAUAGUGGGGGACAACGUGGGGAAACCCACGCUAAUACCGCAUACGCCCCACGGGGGAAAGCAGGGGAUCUUCGGACCUUGCACUAUUGGAUGAGCCUAUGUCUGAUUAGCUAGUUGGUGGGGUAAAGGCCUACCAAGGCAACGAUCAGUAGCUGGUCUGAGAGGACGACCAGCCACACUGGGACUGAGACACGGCCCAGACUCC
RNAcentral lists this ribosomal RNA (225 nucleotides) under uncultured bacterium. RNAcentral describes it as "partial 16S ribosomal RNA". It matches the Rfam family "Bacterial small subunit ribosomal RNA", at positions 111 to 339 of the family's 1533-position model. The record is from RNAcentral.